GAUGAACGCUUUCUUCUUUCCUAAUACAUGCAAGUCGAGCGAACAGACGAGGAGCUUGCUCCUCUGACGUUAGCGGCGGACGGGUGAGUAACACGUGGAUAACCUACCUAUAAGACUGGGAUAACUUCGGGAAACCGGAGCUAAUACCGGAUAAUAUAUUGAACCGCAUGGUUCAAUAGUGAAAGACGGUUUUGCUGUCACGUAUAGAUGGAUCCGCGCCGCAUUAGCUAGUUGGUAAGGUAACGGCUUACCAAGGCAACGAUGCGUAGCCGACCUGAGAGGCUGAUAUGCCACAAUGGAACUCAGACACGGUCCAGACUCCUACGGGUGGCAGCAGUAGGGACUCUUCCGCCAUGGGCGAAAGCCUGACGGAGCAACGCCGCGUGAGUGAUGAUGGUCUUCGGAUCGUAAAACUCUGUUAUUAGGGAAGAACAACUGUGUCAGUAACUCUGCACGUCUUGACGGUACCUAAUCAGAAAGCCACGACUAACUCCGUG
Molecule: ribosomal RNA, 497 nt
Filed under: uncultured bacterium
Lineage: Bacteria
Description: partial 16S ribosomal RNA
Rfam family: Bacterial small subunit ribosomal RNA
Source: RNAcentral